CGUGUAGGCGGUUGGUCAAGUCUGGUGUGAAAGCCCGGGGCUUAGCCCCGGAAGUGCGCUGGAAACUAGCCAACUUGAGCGCGAUAGAGGAGGGUGGAAUUCCUGGUGUAGCGGUGAAAUGCGUAGAUAUCAGGAGGAACACCGGCGGCGAAGGCGGCCCUCUGGGUCGUUGCUGACGCUGAGACGCGAAAGCGUGGGGAGCAAACAGGAUUAGAUACCCUGGUAGUCCACGCUGUAAACUAUGGGUACUAGGUGUUCGGGGUGUUGACCCCCUGAGUGUCGACGCUAACGCAUUAAGUACCCCGCCUGGGGACUACGGCCGCAAGGCUAAA
RNAcentral lists this ribosomal RNA (332 nucleotides) under uncultured bacterium. RNAcentral describes it as "bacterial SSU rRNA". It matches the Rfam family "Bacterial small subunit ribosomal RNA", at positions 568 to 898 of the family's 1533-position model. The record is from RNAcentral.